This 469-nucleotide ribosomal RNA is filed under the name uncultured Methanosaeta sp. RNAcentral describes it as "bacterial SSU rRNA". It matches the Rfam family "Archaeal small subunit ribosomal RNA", at positions 871 to 1337 of the family's 1478-position model. The record is from RNAcentral. Lineage: Archaea; Methanobacteriati; Methanobacteriota; Methanomicrobia; Methanotrichales; Methanotrichaceae.
GACGGGGAGCACCACAACGGGUGGAGCUUGCGGUUUAAUUGGAUUCAACGCCGGAAAUCUUACCGGGACCGACAGCAAUAUGAAGGCCAGGCUGAAGACUUUGCCGGAUUAGCUGAGAGGUGGUGCAUGGCCGUCGUCAGUUCGUACUGUGAAGCAUCCUGUUAAGUCAGGCAACGAGCGAGACCCACGCCCACAGUUGCCAGCGUACUCUCUGGAGUGACGGGUACACUGUGGGACCGCCGCUGCUAAAGCGGAGGAAGGAAUGGGCAACGGUAGGUCAGUAUGCCCCGAAUAUCCCGGGCUACACGCGAGCUACAAUGGUUGGUACAAUGGGUAUCUACCCGAAAGGGGACGGGAAUCUCCUAAAACCAAUCUUAGUUCGGAUUGAGGGCUGCAACUCGCCCUCAUGAAGCUGGAAUCCGUAGUAAUCGCGUUUCAACAGAACGCGGUGAAUACGUCCCUGCUCCUU